CGUCUCUUGUUGGACACGUGUUGAUAGGAGAAGAAAAGGCGUUGAGAGGAAAAGAAAUCUGGGUUUGUGUUUCUCGUGCUUGGGUCUCUCCGCCGCAGCCUGCUCCUCAUCCACGAACGUAUGUGGACAAGAGAGAGAUCCAAGACUAAGAUUGGAUUCACGGCUCAUGUUGAUGCCAAGAUCCGCCAGCUGAGAGGGAGGCUCCAGAGGAAACACUCGAUUCCGAGCGUUAUGAGCGGUAUGAGUGGUACGAGCAUCAAGUGAGACGACAACGUCCACCACACACCAUUCAUAGUUGAUCCAAUUCGAUGUUACAGGCUACGUGACUGGCUUUGGUCAGGACCCAUGAAGCUGCUUCUUCAACAUGUCCGGUGGUUUCUACUCUCGUUGAAGGUGGUGCCACUUGCCUUGGCAAAACUGCUGUUGAUCAACUUGCCUUUAGGUUUGUCUCUCUCUUUCGAUUACCUAUAUAUCGAAUUUCAGAAAAGGACAUGUAGUUUGGGAUGGUUUACCUUUAGUUUCUGUUUUCUGCUUAUGUAAUGGGCAUGAUGAUCCUGAGGAAGGUGAAGCGUUUAGUGUAGUAUCUUUUGUUGUUGUUGUUGUUGUUGUUUUCUCUGUGUAUGAUUUAGGAAACAUGGCUACGCUUUUUAAGUUUGAAGAUCGUGUAGAAUUGUUUGA
Molecule: long non-coding RNA, 678 nt
Organism: Brassica oleracea var. oleracea
Lineage: Eukaryota; Viridiplantae; Streptophyta; Magnoliopsida; Brassicales; Brassicaceae
Exons: 2
Source: RefSeq, a predicted model, not a curated record